RNAcentral lists this ribosomal RNA (687 nucleotides) under Triticum aestivum (bread wheat). RNAcentral's name for it is "partial small subunit ribosomal RNA". Lineage: Eukaryota; Viridiplantae; Streptophyta; Magnoliopsida; Poales; Poaceae. The record is from RNAcentral.
AUGGGUCUCUUGGAAGUUCAUCUAUUUAAGAAGAGCAAUAAUGCUGAUGCUGCUGUCCUAAGCUGGAACAGCAGAUAUCAGAUAACCCUAGGAGUUGCCAGAGGGUUGUCCUACUUGCAUCAGAGUUGCCACGAAUGCAUCAUACACUGUGAUGUUAAACCAGAAAACAUACUUGUGGACACAUCAUUUGUUCCUAAAGUUGCAGACUUUGGGUUGGCAGCGUUUGUGGGAAGGGAUUUUAGCCGAAUUCUAACUACAUUCAGAGGAACUGCAGGCUAUCUUGCCCCAGAGUGGCUUACCGGAGUUGCUAUUACACCGAAAGUUGAUGUUUAUGGCUUUGGCAUGGUCCUGCUGGAGAUCUUAUCGGGAAGGAGGAAUUCACCUGAAAUAUACAACACUAGCAGCAGCGGCAGUUACCAUGUUGAAUAUUUCUCGGUGCAAGCCAUCAGCAAGCUUCAUGGGGGAGAUGUGAAGAGUUUGGUGGAUCCACGGUUGCAUGGUGACUUCAAUUUGGAAGAGGCUGAAAGGGUUUGCAAAGUUGCAGGUUGGUGCAUCCAAGAUAAUGAGUUUGAUCGGCCAACGAUGGGUGAAGUGGUCCGGGUUCUCGAGGGUCUACAGGAGAUUGAUGUGCCCCCGAUGCCAAGACUACUUGCAGCUAUAACGGCACAACCUGGUGCUGCAAUUUGA